Non-coding RNA from Heterocephalus glaber (naked mole-rat), 375 nucleotides. The record is from RefSeq and is a predicted model, not a curated record. Lineage: Eukaryota; Metazoa; Chordata; Mammalia; Rodentia; Bathyergidae.
AAUCAGUGUAUGAAACGAGUUUUUCCAGUGAGAAGAAAUAGUGUGGUUUCUUAGUAUUUCUUUUCUUGAACAAGGAGCUAAGCUGCUUUGCUCCACCACACCCUUCAGUGACGAUGUCCUGCCUUGAAGCCAGCUGACCAUGGACUGAAACUGUGAGCCAAAAUAACCCUUCCGCUUUUAACCACUCCAGUUUACCCUGAGUGUCACUUGGGCAGUGUAUUUAUUUAUGUACUGACUAUCCCAAGCAUGGCUUGGGCAGGCAUCAUUUCAACCAGUUGAUUCUUGUUUGCACGAGAUACACUUGUACAUCUGUUUAUUUGAUUUAUAUUGACGUUAUUGCAUUUUUAAAAUUUAAAAUGCUGAAUUCACCUUUGA